UUAUUGGAGAGUUUGAUCCUGGCUCAGGACGAACGCUGGCGGCGUGCCUAAUACAUGCAAGUCGAGCGAAUCUGAGGGAGCUUGCUCCCAAAGAUUAGCGGCGGACGGGUGAGUAACACGUGGGCAACCUGCCUGUAAGACUGGGAUAACUUCGGGAAACCGGAGCUAAUACCGGAUAAUCCUUUUCUACUCAUGUAGAAAAGUUGAAAGAUGGCUUCGGCUAUCACUUACAGAUGGGCCCGCGGCGCAUUAGCUAGUUGGUGAGGUAACGGCUCACCAAGGCGACGAUGCGUAGCCGACCUGAGAGGGUGAUCGGCCACACUGGGACUGAGACACGGCCCAGACUCCUACGGGAGGCAGCAGUAGGGAAUCUUCCGCAAUGGACGAAAGUCUGACGGAGCAACGCCGCGUGAGUGAUGAAGGUUUUCGGAUCGUAAAACUCUGUUGUUAGGGAAGAACAAGUACCGUUCGAAUAGGGCGGUACCUUGACGGUACCUAACCAGAAAGCCACGGCUAACUACGUGCCAGCAGCCGCGGUAAUACGUAGGUGGCAAGCGUUGUCCGGAAUUAUUGGGCGUAAAGCGCGCGCAGGUGGUUUCUUAAGUCUGAUGUGAAAGCCCCCGGCUCAACCGGGGAGGGUCAUUGGAAACUGGGAGACUUGAGUGCAGAAGAGGAAAGUGGAAUUCCAAGUGUAGCGGUGAAAUGCGUAGAGAUUUGGAGGAACACCAGUGGCGAAGGCGACUUUCUGGUCUGUAACUGACACUGAGGCGCGAAAGCGUGGGGAGCGAACAGGAUUAGAUACCCUGGUAGUCCACGCCGUAAACGAUGAGUGCUAAGUGUUAGAGGGUUUCCGCCCUUUAGUGCUGCAGCAAACGCAUUAAGCACUCCGCCUGGGGAGUACGGCCGCAAGGCUGAAACUCAAAGGAAUUGACGGGGCCCGCACAAGCGGUGGAGCAUGUGGUUUAAUUCGAAGCAACGCGAAGAACCUUACCAGGUCUUGACAUCCUCUGACAAUCCUAGAGAUAGGACGUUCCCCUUCGGGGGACAGAGUGACAGGUGGUGCAUGGUUGUCGUCAGCUCGUGUCGUGAGAUGUUGGGUUAAGUCCCGCAACGAGCGCAACCCUUGAUCUUAGUUGCCAGCAUUCAGUUGGGCACUCUAAGGUGACUGCCGGUGACAAACCGGAGGAAGGUGGGGAUGACGUCAAAUCAUCAUGCCCCUUAUGACCUGGGCUACACACGUGCUACAAUGGAUGGUACAAAGGGCUGCAAGACCGCGAGGUUUAGCCAAUCCCAUAAAACCAUUCUCAGUUCGGAUUGCAGGCUGCAACUCGCCUGCAUGAAGCCGGAAUCGCUAGUAAUCGCGGAUCAGCAUGCCGCGGUGAAUACGUUCCCGGGCCUUGUACACACCGCCCGUCACACCACGAGAGUUUGUAACACCCGAAGUCGGUGGGGUAACCGCAAGGAGCCAGCCGCCUAAGGUGGGACAGAUGAUUGGGGUGAAGUCGUAACAAGGUAGCCGUAUCGGAAGGUGCGGCUGGAUCACCUCCUUU
Molecule: ribosomal RNA, 1550 nt
Filed under: Cytobacillus solani
Lineage: Bacteria; Bacillati; Bacillota; Bacilli; Caryophanales; Bacillaceae
Description: bacterial SSU rRNA
Rfam family: Bacterial small subunit ribosomal RNA
Source: RNAcentral